Molecule: ribosomal RNA, 253 nt
Filed under: uncultured bacterium
Lineage: Bacteria
Description: partial 16S ribosomal RNA
Rfam family: Bacterial small subunit ribosomal RNA
Source: RNAcentral
UACGUAGGUGGCAAGCGUUGUUCGGAAUUACUGGGCGUAAAGCGCGUGUAGGCGGCUCUUCAAGUCAGGCGUGAAAGCCCCGGGCUUAACUCGGGAACUGCGCUUGAUACUGUCGAGCUAGAGUAUGGAAGGGGCGAUUGGAAUUCCGUGUGUAGCGGUGAAAUGCGUAGAUAUACGGAGGAACACCAGAGGCGAAGGCGGAUCGCUGGGCCAACACUGACGCUGAGACGCGAAAGCUAGGGGAGCAAACGGG